GUUCACGUGGCGCAGUGGUUAAGAGGCUUGACUAUGGAGCAACAGGCCACAGGUUCAAACCCCGGAGAGGACA
Non-coding RNA from Caenorhabditis elegans, 73 nucleotides. The record is from the annotation of a RefSeq genome assembly. NCBI's taxonomy places the organism in Eukaryota, Metazoa, Nematoda, Chromadorea, Rhabditida, Rhabditidae.